This is a long non-coding RNA of Cavia porcellus (domestic guinea pig), 955 nucleotides long. RefSeq lists it as uncharacterized. The record is from RefSeq and is a predicted model, not a curated record. Lineage: Eukaryota; Metazoa; Chordata; Mammalia; Rodentia; Caviidae. The transcript has 2 exons.
UGUCUUCUGGAGGGACACUGAACGUGGCUCUUGGUACAUUGAGACCCUGGACAGCAUCUUGGAGCACUGGGCUUCCUCUGAAGAUUUGCAAUACCUGCUGCUCAGGGUGGCUAAUGCCGUAUCCGAGAAAGGGAUUUAUAAACAGAUUCCUGGUUGUUUCAAUUUCCUCCGGAAAAAACUUUUCUUUAAAACCAAAUGAGGACACCUCAUCCUUCAUGUACAGCGUGCUGCAGCAGACCUGGAUGCUGCCACCCCAUCCUGCAACUCAAGGCUUCAGAGCUGGGCAGUUUCCAUCCCUCACUGGUCUCAGCAGCUUCCACAGCAGAGAGCAGUGUCCAGGAGCAGAGGGAGAAGACCAGAAAGCUGUGGACACCAUGCAGACUCCACCUCAGAGCUGGCCUUGGGCUGCUGCCUGGCCCAUCACCCCAUCUUCUGUGGAGCAGUGCUCCCCAUCCUCCAUACUGUGGCCCUGUGGGCCAGGUGCCCUUGGUUCAGGGUCACCGAGGUAUCGGAGGAGGCUUUGUGCUGUCACUAGGCUCCAACCGCAAUACCUGCAGCAGGCCUCCUUGAGCUAUGCUGACCACCGCCAUCUUCAAAGGUCACCACCUGUACUCUGGGGUACAAAAGAGUCCCCAGUGGAGAAGGGAGGCUCUGCAGGGAGUUGGGGCUACAGACAAACCAGUGUCUCUCAGGUCAAACAAUUUCAGCUACUAGAGUCUAAACAGCUGGGGUCCGUCAUUCUGAAGUGUCAGGAAUGGUUAACAUUCUUUUAUCACGUUAUUUAGUCUUAAAAAAUAAAUCUUAGGUGAAUGUGGGUUUUUUCUUUUGUUUCCUCUGUUCCUUCUCAUUUUCCUUCAACUCUUUGUCUUCCUUCAUAAAGUACAAUUUUAUCAUCUUCAAAACAUUUUCCUAGAGUCAGGUAUAUCAAAAGAAUAAAAAAUGAAUUUUUAAAUGG